CACGUAGGGCGCAAGCGUUGUCCGGAAUUAUUGGGCGUAAAGAGCUCGUAGGCGGUCUGUUACGUCCGCUGUGAAAACCCAGGGCUUAACCCUGGGCUUGCAGUGGAUACGGGUAGACUAGAGGCAGGUAGGGGAGAAUGGAAUUCCCGGUGUAGCGGUGAAAUGCGCAGAUAUCGGGAGGAACACCAAUGGCGAAGGCAGCACUCUGGGACGUGACUGACGCUGAGACGCGAAAGCGUGGGGAGCAAACAGG
RNAcentral lists this ribosomal RNA (253 nucleotides) under uncultured bacterium. RNAcentral's name for it is "partial 16S ribosomal RNA". It matches the Rfam family "Bacterial small subunit ribosomal RNA", at positions 524 to 776 of the family's 1533-position model. The record is from RNAcentral.